CCCUCGCCGGAAGACCAAGGGUUCCUGUCCAACGUUAAUCGGGGCAGGGUAAGUCGACCCCUAAGGCGAGGCCGAAAGGCGUAGUCGAUGGGAAACGGGUUAAUAUUCCCGUACUUCUUACAAUUGCGAUGGGGGGACGGAGAAGGCUAGGUGGGCCUGGCGACGGUUGUCCAGGUUCAAGUGCGUAGGCUUGAGAGUUAGGUAAAUCCGGCUCUCUUUAAGGCUGAGACACGAUGUCGAGCACCCAAGGGUGUGAAGUCAUUGAUGCCAUGCUUCCAGGAAAAGCCUCUAAGCUUCAGAUUGUAAGGAAUCGUACCCCAAACCGACACAGGUGGUCGGGUAGAGAAUACCAAGGCGCUUGAGAGAACUCGGGUGAAGGAACUAGGCAAAAUGGUACCGUAACUUCGGGAGAAGGUACGCUCUUGACGGUGAAGUCCCUUGCGGAUGGAGCUAUUAGGAGUCGCAGAUACCAGGUGGCUGCAACUGUUUAUUAAAAACACAGCACUGUGCAAAAUCGUAAGAUGACGUAUACGGUGUGACGCCUGCCCGGUGCCGGAAGGUUAAUUGAUGGGGUUAGACUUUUGUCGAAGCUCUUGAUCGAAGCCCCGGUAAACGGCGGCCGUAACUAUAACGGUCCUAAGGUAGCGAAAUUCCUUGUCGGGUAAGUUCCGACCUGCACGAAUGGCGUAAUGAUGGCCACGCUGUCUCCACCCGAGACUCAGUGAAAUUGAAAUCGCUGUGAAGAUGCAGUGUACCCGCGGCUAGACGGAAAGACCCCGUGAACCUUUACUACAGCUUGGCACUGAACAUUGAACCUACAUGUGUAGGAUAGGUGGGAGGCUUUGAAGCGCAGUCGCUAGAUUGCGUGGAGCCGUCCUUGAAAUACCACCCUUGUAGCUUUGAUGUUCUAACUUGGCCCCAUUAUCUGGGGUGAGGACAGUGCCUGGUGGGUAGUUUGACUGGGGCGGUCUCCUCCCAAAGAGUAACGGAGGAGCACGAAGGUGGGCUAAUCACGGUUGGACAUCGUGAGGUUAGUGCAAUGGCAUAAGCCCGCUUGACUGCGAGAAUGACAAUUCGAGCAGGUGCGAAAGCAGGUCAUAGUGAUCCGGUGGUUCUGAAUGGAAGGGCCAUCGCUCAACGGAUAAAAGGUACUCCGGGGAUAACAGGCUGAUACCGCCCAAGAGUUCAUAUCGACGGCGGUGUUUGGCACCUCGAUGUCGGCUCAUCACAUCCUGGGGCUGAAGUCGGUCCCAAGGGUAUGGCUGUUCGCCAUUUAAAGUGGUACGCGAGCUGGGUUUAGAACGUCGUGAGACAGUUCGGUCCCUAUCUGCCGUGGGCGUUGGAAGAUUGAAGGGGGCUGCUCCUAGUACGAGAGGACCGGAGUGGACGAACCUCUGGUGUUCGGGUUGUCAUGCCAAUGGCAUUGCCCGGUAGCUAAGUUCGGAAUCGAUAACCGCUGAAAGCAUCUAAGCGGGAAGCGAGCCCUGAGAUGAGUCUUCCCUGACCCCUUGAGGGUCCUAAAGGGUUGU
This 1529-nucleotide ribosomal RNA is filed under the name marine sediment metagenome. RNAcentral describes it as "bacterial LSU rRNA". It matches the Rfam family "Bacterial large subunit ribosomal RNA", at positions 1331 to 2838 of the family's 2925-position model. The record is from RNAcentral.